AUUGAACGCUGGCGGAAUGCUUUACACAUGCAAGUCGAGCGGCAGCGCGGGGGCAACCCUGGCGGCGAGCGGCGAACGGGUGAGUAACAUAUCGGAACGUACCCAGUCGUGGGGGAUAACUAUCCGAAAGGAUAGCUAAUACCGCAUACGUCCUGAGGGAGAAAGCGGGGGAUCGCAAGACCUCGCGCGAUUGGAGCGGCCGAUAUCGGAUUAGCUAGUUGGUGGGGUAAAGGCUCACCAAGGCGACGAUCCGUAGCGGGUCUGAGAGGACGACCCGCCACACUGGAACUGAGACACGGUCCAGACUCCUACGGGAGGCAGCAGUGGGGAAUUUUGGACAAUGGGGGCAACCCUGAUCCAGCCAUUCCGCGUGAGUGAAGAAGGCCUCGG
This 390-nucleotide ribosomal RNA is filed under the name uncultured bacterium. RNAcentral describes it as "bacterial SSU rRNA". It matches the Rfam family "Bacterial small subunit ribosomal RNA", at positions 29 to 420 of the family's 1533-position model. The record is from RNAcentral.